CAGUCGCCGCGGUAAAACGUAGGGUGCAAGCGUUAAUCGGAAUUACUGGGCGUAAAGCGUGCGCAGGCGGUCCGCUAAGACAGAUGUGAAAUCCCCGGGCUUAACCUGGGAACUGCAUUUGUGACUGGCGGGCUAGAGUAUGGCAGAGGGGGGUAGAAUUCCACGUGUAGCAGUGAAAUGCGUAGAGACGUGGAGGAAUACCGAUGGCGAAGGCAGCCCCCUGGGCCAAUACUGACGCUCUUGCACGAAAGCGUGGGGAGCAAACAGGAUUAGAUACCCCGGUAGUCCCUGUCUCUUAUAC
Molecule: ribosomal RNA, 301 nt
Filed under: uncultured bacterium
Lineage: Bacteria
Description: partial 16S ribosomal RNA
Rfam family: Bacterial small subunit ribosomal RNA
Source: RNAcentral